Erigeron canadensis is the source of this 1589-nucleotide long non-coding RNA. RefSeq lists it as uncharacterized. The record is from RefSeq and is a predicted model, not a curated record. NCBI's taxonomy places the organism in Eukaryota, Viridiplantae, Streptophyta, Magnoliopsida, Asterales, Asteraceae. The transcript has 3 exons.
GCAUUCGUGCAACUAUGCAACAAAUUGUUGCAAAUGUGGAACCUGCUUAUGCAGUUGUAUGCAUCUGAUCAUCUACAUGGCAUUUUAACAGAAAACAGAGGUUCCAUCGAUCGCUAUGUGGAAUAUAAAAAAGAGUUCCAGAUUUCAUUUUGGUUUGCAUCAUCAUAAAUUUACCAUCACUUUAAUUGUGGCAAAGUCAAACAGUUUAAAAGCUAAAGGACUGAACAUAGGACCUUUUAAUGCAGUUCAUGUGUCUUAUACAAAAUCCAAAAAAUUUCAGAAGGGAAAAAUGUAGUUGAUGUAACAUGUUGGUAAGACCAAAAUCACCAGAUCCAACGAAUCGAAGCCAGAGUGAUAAAUUAGUACGACAGAACGAUCUAGAUUAGUCACAUGCAUUUGCAAAUUGUUUGCCACAGGAUUCGUAUCCAUAACUUAUAUGUUUAUGAAGGACAUUCAUGCUGUUUCUUACUUAAGAUGAAGUACUAUUUAACAUAGGAUUUGAUGUGACCAUGUAACCAAAGGCCCAUUCAAGAAUAUUGGAAGCAAAUAACAGUGGUUUAGACUCUGGCAACUGAACUAAACUAAACCACUUACACUUGUACCAUCACAAAGUUACAAAGAAACCACAGUUAAGAUACCAGUACGAUUAUCUACUUGAACAUGAAAGAAAAACAAAAUGUAAAGAAUGGUACUCUCAACUCAACUGCAAAUUCAUGUGUACGAUUCAUCACAUAAUAGCUUACACAAUCUUUCAUGGAAGAAAAAUACUGAACAGUUUGUACCAAGUUUUACUUGAUUGAAUUAGUUGCUAAGGAACAACGUUUACCAGCUGUGGAUCGACUCUUGAGAUUCUUGAUGUCUAAAAUGCAACCAGAAGCACUAUCCAUCUUUUUUCUGACAUCAUGAGAUCCUACAAGCUUGUACUCCCAGCUUCCAUUCUGGUAACCCUCACUGAGGAACAGCUCCAAGUGUCUAGCAUCCAGUACCUGCAUUGUUCCUGCAAGAAGCCAAAACUUGAGAAAUUAGUUGCAGUACAAGAGUUUUGGUUGAUUCUUGUUGCAAGUUUUAUCUCACCAUCACAUGUGCUCUGGUCACAGACAGGGCACCUAACAAGCUGCAAAUCUGAACACAACAUGCCAUUUGGUUGAAUUAGAAAAAGAAUUGUAUGAAUAAUAAUUAAGCAUUGAAGACUUUUCUGGUAGGUUUUCUAGAGAUUACCUGCUAUCCAUAUUCCAGUUUUGAUGUUGUGCAAUACACAAGAUCCACAAGAUUUCAACAUAUUUUGCGUAGUCAUUUCUUUUGGAAGCUUUGUAGGGCGGAUGAGAUUCUCCAUGAGGAAUGCAUCUGACGAGUCGAAGCAAAAUGCACCAAUUCUCAUCCAAUCUGAAAUGCAGGUUACAAAUGAACAAGAGAAUGACGUUUCAAUCUUUUGGAUUUCCUAUUUACCCUUUUAUCUUAUCCAUCAUACAGUAUGUAAGGAACUGGAUCAAUUUUAGUAGUUUUUGGAUCGUCUUUUAUGGUUGUAAUUUCUGCAUACACUUUGUAAUUUAACAUAAUAAAGCAGAAAUGUCAUAUACUUAUUGUCAAAA